RNAcentral lists this transfer RNA (80 nucleotides) under Sharpea azabuensis. It matches the Rfam family "tRNA". From Rfam's summary of the family: Transfer RNA (tRNA) molecules are approximately 80 nucleotides in length. Their secondary structure includes four short double-helical elements and three loops (D, anti-codon, and T loops). The record is from Rfam by way of RNAcentral. Lineage: Bacteria; Bacillati; Bacillota; Erysipelotrichia; Erysipelotrichales; Coprobacillaceae.
GCGGGUGUGGUGAAAUUGGCAGACACGCUAGACUUAGGAUCUAGUGCUCCGGCGUGCAGGUUCAAGUCCUGUCACCCGCA